GCCUGAGUGGCUCAGUCCGUUGAGCGUCUGACUUUGGCUCAGGUCAUGAUCUCACAGUUCAUGGGUUCGAGCCCUGUGUCAGGCU
RNAcentral lists this transfer RNA (85 nucleotides) under Felis catus (domestic cat). It matches the Rfam family "tRNA". From Rfam's summary of the family: Transfer RNA (tRNA) molecules are approximately 80 nucleotides in length. Their secondary structure includes four short double-helical elements and three loops (D, anti-codon, and T loops). The record is from Rfam by way of RNAcentral. Lineage: Eukaryota; Metazoa; Chordata; Mammalia; Carnivora; Felidae.